Molecule: ribosomal RNA, 1289 nt
Filed under: Lacticaseibacillus paracasei
Lineage: Bacteria; Bacillati; Bacillota; Bacilli; Lactobacillales; Lactobacillaceae
Description: bacterial SSU rRNA
Rfam family: Bacterial small subunit ribosomal RNA
Source: RNAcentral
GGCUCACCAAGGCGAUGAUACGUAGCCGAACUGAGAGGUUGAUCGGCCACAUUGGGACUGAGACACGGCCCAAACUCCUACGGGAGGCAGCAGUAGGGAAUCUUCCACAAUGGACGCAAGUCUGAUGGAGCAACGCCGCGUGAGUGAAGAAGGCUUUCGGGUCGUAAAACUCUGUUGUUGGAGAAGAAUGGUCGGCAGAGUAACUGUUGUCGGCGUGACGGUAUCCAACCAGAAAGCCACGGCUAACUACGUGCCAGCAGCCGCGGUAAUACGUAGGUGGCAAGCGUUAUCCGGAUUUAUUGGGCGUAAAGCGAGCGCAGGCGGUUUUUUAAGUCUGAUGUGAAAGCCCUCGGCUUAACCGAGGAAGCGCAUCGGAAACUGGGAAACUUGAGUGCAGAAGAGGACAGUGGAACUCCAUGUGUAGCGGUGAAAUGCGUAGAUAUAUGGAAGAACACCAGUGGCGAAGGCGGCUGUCUGGUCUGUAACUGACGCUGAGGCUCGAAAGCAUGGGUAGCGAACAGGAUUAGAUACCCUGGUAGUCCAUGCCGUAAACGAUGAAUGCUAGGUGUUGGAGGGUUUCCGCCCUUCAGUGCCGCAGCUAACGCAUUAAGCAUUCCGCCUGGGGAGUACGACCGCAAGGUUGAAACUCAAAGGAAUUGACGGGGGCCCGCACAAGCGGUGGAGCAUGUGGUUUAAUUCGAAGCAACGCGAAGAACCUUACCAGGUCUUGACAUCUUUUGAUCACCUGAGAGAUCAGGUUUCCCCUUCGGGGGCAAAAUGACAGGUGGUGCAUGGUUGUCGUCAGCUCGUGUCGUGAGAUGUUGGGUUAAGUCCCGCAACGAGCGCAACCCUUAUGACUAGUUGCCAGCAUUUAGUUGGGCACUCUAGUAAGACUGCCGGUGACAAACCGGAGGAAGGUGGGGAUGACGUCAAAUCAUCAUGCCCCUUAUGACCUGGGCUACACACGUGCUACAAUGGAUGGUACAACGAGUUGCGAGACCGCGAGGUCAAGCUAAUCUCUUAAAGCCAUUCUCAGUUCGGACUGUAGGCUGCAACUCGCCUACACGAAGUCGGAAUCGCUAGUAAUCGCGGAUCAGCACGCCGCGGUGAAUACGUUCCCGGGCCUUGUACACACCGCCCGUCACACCAUGAGAGUUUGUAACACCCGAAGCCGGUGGCGUAACCCUUUUAGGGAGCGAGCCGUCUAAGGUGGGACAAAUGAUUAGGGUGAAGUCGUAACAAGGUAGCCGUAGGAGAACCUGCGGCUGGAUCACCUCCUUUCUAAGGAA